This 423-nucleotide ribosomal RNA is filed under the name uncultured bacterium. RNAcentral describes it as "bacterial SSU rRNA". It matches the Rfam family "Bacterial small subunit ribosomal RNA", at positions 358 to 773 of the family's 1533-position model. The record is from RNAcentral.
GGAAUAUUGGACAAUGGGGGAAACCCUGAUCCAGCGACGCCGCGUGGGUGAAGAAGGCCUGCGGGUUGUAAAGCCCUGUCGGUGGGGAAGAAAAGCCUCGACCUAAUACGUCGGGGUCUUGACGUAACGCACAACAGAAGCACCGGCCAACUCCGUGGCAGCCGCCGCGGUAAUACAGAGGGUGCGAGCGUUAAUCGGAAUUACUGGGCGUAAAGCGCACGUAGGCGGCUUUGCAAGUCGGGUGUGAAAUCCCCGUGCUCAACCUGGGAACUGCAUUCGAUACUGCAUUGCUGGAGUAUGGGAGAGGGAAGUGGAAUUUCCGGUGUAGCGGUGAAAUGCGUAGAUAUCGGAAGGAACACCAGUGGCGAAAGCGACUUCCUGGACCAAUACUGACGCUCAGGUGCGAAAGCGUGGGGAGCAAAC